This 254-nucleotide ribosomal RNA is filed under the name uncultured prokaryote. RNAcentral describes it as "partial 16S ribosomal RNA". It matches the Rfam family "Bacterial small subunit ribosomal RNA", at positions 524 to 776 of the family's 1533-position model. The record is from RNAcentral.
UACGGGGGGAGCAAGCGUUGUUCGGAUUUACUGGGCGUAAAGGGCGCGUAGGCGGCCAGCGCAAGUCGGUUGUGAAAUCUCCGGGCUUAACUCGGAAAGGUCAACUGAUACUGCGCGGCUAGAGUGCAGAAGGGGCAACUGGAAUUCUCGGUGUAGCGGUGAAAUGCGUAGAUAUCGAGAGGAACACCUGCGGCGAAGGCGGGUCUCUGGACAGUUCCUGACACUGAGACACGAAGGCCAGGGGAGCAAACGGG